CUAGGAAGCUCCUAAUCUAGCUUAGUCUACUUUUAGAUUAGAUCUCAAAUCAGGUAGGAUUACCCGCUGAACUUAAGCAUAUCAAUAAGCGGAGGAAAAGAAACUAACAAGGAUUCCCCUAGUAGCGGCGAGCGAAGCGGGAAGAGCUCAAAUUUAUAAUCUGGCGCUUUCGGCGUCCGAGUUGUAAUCUCUAGAAGUGUUUUCCGCGUUGGACCGCACAUAAGUCUGUUGGAAUACAGCGGCACAGUGGUGAGACCCCCGUUCACGGUGCGGAUGCCCAAUGCUUUGUGAUACACUUUCGAAGAGUCGAGUUGUUUGGGAAUGCAGCUCAAAUUGGGUGGUAAAUUCCAUCUAAAGCUAAAUAUUGGCGAGAGACCGAUAGCGAACAAGUACCGUGAGGGAAAGAUGAAAAGCACUUUGGAAAGAGAGUUAACAGUACGUGAAAUUGUUGGAAGGGAAACGCUUGAAGUCAGACUUGCUAUUCGGGGCUUGCUCCGAGUUGCAGGCCAGCAUCAGUUUUUCGGGGCGGAAAAUCACGGAUUGAAGGUAGCAGUUUCGGCUGUGUUAUAGCUUUCCGUUGGAUACGUCCUGGGGGACUGAGGAACGCAGUGUGCUUUUAGCGAGGGCUUCGGCUCUUUCACACUUAGGAUGCGGGGA
Molecule: ribosomal RNA, 657 nt
Filed under: Rhodosporidiobolus ruineniae
Lineage: Eukaryota; Fungi; Basidiomycota; Microbotryomycetes; Sporidiobolales; Sporidiobolaceae
Description: LSU rRNA
Rfam family: Eukaryotic large subunit ribosomal RNA
Source: RNAcentral